Long non-coding RNA from Patella vulgata (common limpet), 2236 nucleotides. RefSeq lists it as uncharacterized. The record is from RefSeq and is a predicted model, not a curated record. Lineage: Eukaryota; Metazoa; Mollusca; Gastropoda; Patellidae. The transcript has 4 exons.
ACAGUCCUUAUGUAUAGCUGAAGAUUCCGUUGGAGGAUCGAGUUUUCGUCUGGAUGAUUUGGUCUGUAUGUUGUGGUGCUGGUGUCGAUUUGGAGUUUUGGAUAUAUCCAUUCCUGGGAAUUUGUCGGAUCGUAUAAAUGCUCAGAUAGAGAGGAAUCUUCAUAUUCUCGUCAUGAAUGGUGAGUGUUUAAACCAUGAGUGACGUCAUCAACUGUAGUUACGUAGAUCAGAAUAGUGUUUAUCAUGAUAAUUGGUGCCAAGGGGAGACAAACCAUUGUUGUAUAUCUGGCUGGCAACGCAUCUGUUCAACUGAGACGUGUGAACAUAAGAACCCAAUCACGGAUGUUUCUAGUUACGUAUUUUGGUUAAUUUUGGCGGGUAUUGCAGCGUUUGGUAUUAUUGUACUCAGUGUCACGUAUCUUGUGUGCAAGUACCGAGUCCCGCGAGAAGAUGCCGAAAGCGAAAACCAAAAUGAUCUAUUUGAAGAGACGAUAUGUGAAACUAAAUUUAAAAAGAUAACAAAACGAGGCAAACCGGAAGUAACGGAGAGUGAGCUAUCCAGCUUUUUAAUGCGAACUGAAACAAAAGCGAAAGUAGCAACAGCACAAAAAUCAACCAUCCCAGUUCGACCACUGGAUGUUCGAGAUCGUGAUUCACCCCCUGCGUUCACUCAUACGAGUGGUUUAUCACCUAGAUAUAGUUCUCACGACAGAAGAACACCGCGUGCUGUGAAUUUGGGAUUUUUACCGGAUGUUGGGUGAGCAGCAGACCGGUGUAGAUUAGAUUACCCUAAUAACUUUAUAUAAUAAUCAGAAUAUGUUGCCUUUCAAACCGAAAUACGAAACUCUGAUACUGAACAUGGAAACUAACUGUAAAUACGAAAUGUGGUGGACAACAAAUAUAUAUAACUAUGCACUAGUGCCGGGCAUUUCUUUUUGUCAAUAUUGCUCAAAGUAUUACAAAAAAUGAUGUGUAGAAUGUUUAUUUUCAUAACAUAUACUCGUAUCUUUCUUUUCGGUCACAUUUGAAAAUAAUUUUCUGGCUAUUGACAAAAAACGCUCUUAAUAGUUCUUAUUGGUGAUUAUUAAGACCGAGCCCCAGAAACAAUAUAAUAUGAUUUCAUUAUAACUUAUUUCAAUAUAUAACAUACUUGUAUUAACUUAAAUUAUAUGAUAUUGUGUUGACAGGGAGGGUGGGGGGUGUCGGUGACGGUUAUAAUCCUUGGCUUCAUUUUAUAUUUGAUUGUCUCUCCGCCCGUUUCCGUAUAUCAUUGUUUUACUACUAUAUUCGUUAUUGCGUGUGGUGCAGUCAUCCCGCUCCUUUGGAUAGCGUAGUUUAUAUUGUAUGUGGUGCAGUCGUAUUACCAGUCAAAGCACAACAACUACACCAUCAUUUCAAACAGCUGACUACCAUGUGAUAAUUUUUUUUUGUUCAAAGAUACAUUCUGUAAAAUUUUGAUAGAUAAUACAAAAGUUCUUAUAAUAUUUUUUAACAGGUUGACCACCAGGGAGAAAGCCCCCUACAUUGUCGUCUCCAUAUUUUACCUUUGUUCGGUUGAUAUUUUCGCAGAUAUUAACAUUAGACUGUUGUACAUUUAUAAUAAUAAAGUUGUAUUUAUUUCAAGCUACCAUGGUAAUAAUAUAAAGUUGUAUUUAUUUUAAGUUGCCAUGGUAUUAUAAAGUUGUAUUUAUUUUAAGUUGCCAUGGUAAUAUAAAGUUGUGUUUAUAUCAAGUUACCAUGGUAAUAUAAAGUUGUGUUUAUAUCAAGUUACCAUGGUAAUAUAAAGUUGUGCUUAUCCCAAGUUACCAUGGUAAUAUAAAUUUGUGUUUAUAUCAAGUUACCAUGGUAAUAUAAAGUUGUGUUUAUAUCAAGUUGCCAUGGUAAUAUAAAGUUGUGUUUAUGUCACGUUACCAUGGUAAUAUAAAGCUAUGUUUAUUUCAACCUACUUACCCCGUGAAAUGAUAUAAAUAUUUCAGCAAUAAUCUGUGAUAAAUAAUUUGAUGUGAUUUAUUUAAUUAAGUUUGUUACAUUUAAAUAUUAGUGAAAUCUGCGAAUUCCGUCCAUCCAUUUAGAUUGUAACACGAGAUAUGUAUUUUAAAUUAGAUAUGUAUUUUAAAUUAAAAAAUAAAACGUAAUAAUUUGUUGUUAAAUGCAGUAAAUACUCAGCAUACUCCGGCUCGUGCACGACACUUGUGGUUAACGGGGGGCGGCGUUUAAGGAAAUAAAAUAGAGUUUA